AUUGAACUCUGGCGGCAGGCCUAAAACAUGCAAGUCGAACGAGUGGCGGACGGGUGAGUAAAGUCUGGGAAACUGCCCGAUGGAGGGGGAUAACUACUGGAAACGGUAGCUAAUAACGCAUACCAUCGGAUGUGCCCAGAUGGGAUUAGCUAGUAGGUGGGGUAACGGCUCACCAAGGCGCCGAUACCUAGAUGGUCUGAGAGGAUGCCCAGCCACACUGGAAAUGAGACACGGUCCAGACGCCUACGGGAGGCAGCAGUGGGGAAUAUUGCACAAUGGCGCAAGCCUGAUGCAGCCAUGCCGCGGGUAUGAAGAAGGCCUUCGGGUUGUAAAGUACUUUCAGCGAGGAGGCGUUACUCGCAGAAGAAGCACCGGCUAACUCCGUGCCAGCCGCCGCGGUAAUUC
Molecule: ribosomal RNA, 405 nt
Filed under: uncultured bacterium
Lineage: Bacteria
Description: partial 16S ribosomal RNA
Rfam family: Bacterial small subunit ribosomal RNA
Source: RNAcentral